RNAcentral lists this small nuclear RNA (190 nucleotides) under Echinops telfairi (small Madagascar hedgehog). RNAcentral's name for it is "U2 spliceosomal RNA (ENSETEG00000022304.1)". It matches the Rfam family "U2 spliceosomal RNA". Rfam says of the family: U2 is a small nuclear RNA (snRNA) component of the spliceosome (involved in pre-mRNA splicing). Lineage: Eukaryota; Metazoa; Chordata; Mammalia; Afrosoricida; Tenrecidae. The record is from RNAcentral.
AUCGUUUCUUGGUCUUUUGACUAAGAUCAAGUGUAGUAUCUGUCUUUAUCAGUUUAAUGUCUGAUACGUCCUCUAUCUGAGGACAACAUAUUAAAUGUAUUUUUGCAAGUAGGAGUUGGACUAGGAGCUUGCUCCAUCCACUCCACGCAUCAGCCUGGUAUUGCAUAUUUCCAGGAAUGGUGCAGCCCCU